Long non-coding RNA from Maniola jurtina (meadow brown), 2501 nucleotides. RefSeq lists it as uncharacterized. The transcript is spliced from 2 exons. Lineage: Eukaryota; Metazoa; Arthropoda; Insecta; Lepidoptera; Nymphalidae. The record is from RefSeq and is a predicted model, not a curated record.
UUAAAAAAAUAUUGCCCUAGACUAAAUCGAUCGGGAAUGAAGAUCGUCAUAUACGUUUACGUUACUGUAAAAAUAAUAUAAUAAAAUGACGAAGAUCUCUAUCUAAAAUAAAACCAAACCGAAUCAGUUUCAAAGUAACGAACAAUUUCAAUAAAGGCGUGUUUAAAUAAAAUUUGCCAAAGCAUCGCUAAUUUGAAAAAAAAAAAAAAUUCAACUUGCUUUCAUUUGAUAAAAUAAAACCGUUAAAGCCAGAAAUUCUCUGCGAAUUUUCCUUUACGAGCUCGUUUAUUCCUUUUGUCUCGUUUCUUUUUGUUUCAAUUCGAAUUGAAACACCUAAUGGUCCUUGUUGGGAACGAGCUUGUUAGGUAUAAGCCCAUGGUCACACAAACGCGCCACGGCGUUUAAUCACGUUGUCUAUAUGAAGGAUACUUACACUGCGAUGCCGUACUGUUGCCAUCAAUCUCAGUUGCCCUCGUGCUGUUUCUAAAUACAGUUCCUUGUAUGACAAAGUUUAAUGUCCUUUGAUUAGAUUAAGUGCCUUCAUUCCUCCGUAGAACAUGGGGCUACUGCAGUAGUUUUGUUCUGUCCUCGGCUACUGUCUUGUAUUGGUUCUAUGAGGCUCCCACUAUUAUAAGGUCUGCUUUAAUAAUGGACCUAGGCAAGUUUUGGGUUGGUCGAUGAUCUGUUUCGAUCGAUAGGCUGCUAUGCAAUGCAUUUUUGCAGAGUUUCCUGCACUCUUCGUUAAUCAUUGGAAUUGGUGUGAUUGGCUGAAUUAAUGGUAUUCCUGCUUGCCAAUUGGCCAAAACCACCGCCGUCACAUGUCUCUGACGCCGCAUGUUGUGUGUGUUUAGGGCUUUACUAGCAAUUCAAAGCGCGUAUCAGGAGUAUUUUGUAAUAUUGUUGAAAAAAGGAAAAUCUUUCCAAGUAUUAUUGUGAUAGUAUGAUUGGAUAUUUUGUUUCGUUUAUUUAGAUUGAUUUAUUUCUAAAUGACGUUAAGUAUUUACCUUAAUUAAAGCUGGUAACACAUUACGCUGCAGUAAAUAAAAUUUUUAAUGCUGAAAAUUCACCAAAGGUGAUUUUUGGUGCAUUUUCAGUAGGUACUGAAAAACGUUUCAGUAAUGUGCGAUUAGCUUAAAAUAGCUUAAAAUUUGCGACGUAGGUGUGGUCAGUUUAUAUUAAUUUUUACUACGAAGGCUUAAUUCUGAAAUUCCACACUCUCGGCGUGUAUUCUACAAGAAAGUAGUUCGCUGGACUCUCGUCAUGUGAAUAAAAUAUCAAAGAGUAACGAGGAUCCAUAAUUUGCUUUUACUCUUGUUCAUUGCCUAAUCUAAAUUUCCCUCUCUGAGUAAGGCUUAAUUUAAAUUGCUUAACGUCAUUUUCUUUCAAUGUAUAGUUAAAGAAUCCAGUGCCAUGGUUAAAACAUUGUAAAAAUAGUAAGUACAUAUUGUAGAUUUUUAUUAUAAUAGAAUUAUUAAUUUGAAUGUAUUUUACUGUAGAAUAUUGUUCUUUGAUGGAAGUUUAUCAAAGUAUGUGCCAUGUAAAUAAGUAUAGAUGAAUUCUUCUACAAUAUAAAAUAUAAUAGCGCUUUUCAUAUUUUUUUUAUGUAUUCUUUAUAUCAGUACAAAUAUGGGUGCCUUGGCUGAAUAUAUAAUAUUAAGAUUUUAUAUACAAUAAAUCAAUUAUUUCUACAAUGAUUUAUAAUGCGAUUUAUAUUUUUUUAUUAUUGUUGAAUCAAUUUCAACAUUAUCCCUUGGCUCAUGUUGAGUCCAAAUUGUUGUUAUAGUGUAGAAUAGCAUUUUGUAUUUUUAUAUUGUUAAUUAUAAUUCUUAAUAAAAAGUAUUAAGUACAGAUUGUUAUAAGUAAUAUUUUAAUACAUAUCUUCCAUUGUUUUCGAUAUACGUUCGCAAAAUAAGUAAAAGUGAUAGUGUGUGUUUGCGGUUAUAAAAUUUGGUAAAAAAGUUUUGUUUAGAAAAUUAUAAACAUAUUUUAUCUUACACUAGGCCAUAGAAUAAUAAUGCAACUAGAAGUCUGAAUUCUUUUAUAUUCAAAUAUUUAAAAUGUCUUGACGUCCUUCUCUAAACAUCGCAAUGUUAUAUGUUUCCAAGUAUUGGGAGACGAGCAAGUUCUAAAUUGUGAAUUUAAUCAAAUUGCAGUUAAAUUAAUCAAUGGUAACGGUUCCUUAAGUAUCAAUAACUGGUUUAUACAAUUUCUAAUUGAAAAUCAGUCAAAUGUAGAUUUAGCGUUCCGAUAUGAUGCUGUGUAGAAACCAAAGGGGUAUGGGUUUAAUAAAAACUGACAAACCACUUCCAGGUUAGCCCGUUCGACUGCAUCUCACUUACUAUUAUAUGAGAUUGCAGUCAAGGGCUAACUUGUAUCUGAAUAAAAAAAAUACAAUAAAAUUUUGAGUGUCUUAUCGUAGGUACUAAACAGCAAUGAGAUUAAAGUGGUUGUUUUGCUUGAGUUAUUAUUCUAUGGCCGUUAAUGUUCAGUGAGUUUGGAAU